UAAUUGCUUGUUCAAGAGACUAUAGCUGGCCUCGCAUGUGCGGGAGCAGCUCGAGGCUAUGGACAAUCUGUGAACACUCUGCUGGCUCUGGCUAGCUAUACGUACCUAUGGCUGCCUUACCUUCAAAUAAUGAAUAUACUUUAAAUUGUCACGCUUGUUACAUGUGCACAAAUGUUAGUUGUCACGCAUGUCAUAAUAGAGCUAGAGCACAUGUCAUUUGCAGCCACGAGACAAAGAGAGAGCAAGACGAGGUGUACCCUGCCGGGGCGACUCGCCCCUGCCGACUGUCUCCUUGUACCUUUUGAUAACUACUCAACGCUGCACAGCACAGGAUUCAGCAUUCAAUCACUCUCAUAAUUUUAUUGUCAUUUCAUCUUUUAUGGGGGACGCCCCACUCUUAAUUUUUAUCACUGAAUGGCUGCUGACGUACGUAUAUAUAAGAGCACUACAAGAUACGACAGGAAAGGGUCAGUAUAAUAAUUAUGUAAGUGAUGUAGUGUACUAUCUUCUGGUAUUCAGCCCCUUUAAUGAGCACAGGAUUAUAUAGAUCUCCAAGCCAUUAGUUACAUCACUAUAAUUAUGCAAUUAUCUGCUGUAUUUCAUAUUGUAAUGAUUCAUUGGGUACUGACUUUAUAUGGAUGUAUGGAUGGUGCUAUGAUUCUUAGCCUUCCAGGCCGCAACAUAGAAUGCUGGCUUUCUGAUCGAAGAGGAGAUGAUCUGUUAUUGGCCGGGGAUGGAGUGGAUCUACCUCUGAGAGACAAAGGGCCAGUUAUUGUAUCAUGUAUGAAUAUUCUGUUGCUUGUACAUUUCGUAGCAUUAUCAGUAAUUGACUCUAGAGUAGCAUCUUGUGCUUCAUCACUCAAUCUGCAGGCAGUGUAUGUGAUUUUCUGACAGACUCUAAACAGAGGGAGUCGGCCACACAAGCAUUGACCUCUACUACCGUGUAGCGGGAAAGUUCGUUAUUUGAGCCCUCGAGAAAUGUUGUAUAGUUGUUCACAUUUCAAUGCCAGGAAACCACAGCUUUGCAUGGUGCGUGGGAGUGUCUUCCAUUAUAUUACAUGAAGUGUGAAGUGUGUUGUAAGUUUGUACAGAGAGGACUCCCAUGGUGGCAAUGAUCUGAUGAUGCUCUGAUGGACCGAUGCAGGAGAAGUUAUUCUGUAUAAUUAUUACACUAAUUAAUGUAUGCCACUGUUUGGAUCGGUUUCUGUUCUGCUCAGCUUCUUCCUCCAACUUGCUUACGCAGGCUAAGCUUAUUCUUAGUUCAUUCUUAGUUCAUUCUAUAGUCUAGUAUUAUUGUCGGUUUGGUUGUUUUAUGUUUUUCACCUGGUCAUACGGAAUCACUUCAUUAAUUUUUAUACAGUGCAGACCACACCUCUAUCCACACAUUGUACCUGCACAUCCUGUAUAUAUGGGGCCACACCCCCACUCACUGUACUGAUAUGUGGUCACACCCCCAUACAUGGUAACCCUCUUGAUCACACCCCAACCCUAUGCUGUGUUUUUGUGUACAGUACACACAUCAUCCGUGUCUUUAUCCCCACACCUAGUCGGAGGGAGCAGCAAGUUCUACUAAGAGCCAGCAUCACCCACUAACCAACACUCUACAAGACCUACCUACUACCAGCUAGGACAGCACACCACCCGGGACAGACUCUACUAUACCAUGUAAUACGCCUUUGUAUUACGAUCAUGAUACAAUUUGCUGCCCUCCCUCGCCAAUGGAUUGAAUAAUUAUGGACACUCGCAGGACAACUAAGAGACUGACACACAAUAAUAGACACCAAAGGUCCAGUUACUGUAUCAUGCAGUGUAUGUGAUUUUCUGACAGGAAAGGCUACUCUAAACAGAGGGAGUCGGCCACACAAGUCGGAGGGAGCAGCAAGUUCUACUAAGAGCCAGCAUCACCCACUAACCAACACUCUACAAGACCUACCUACUACCAGCUAGGACAGCACACCACCCGGGACAGACUCUACUAUACCCAUGUAAUACGCCUUUGUAUUACGAUCAUGAUACAAUUUGCUGCCCUCCCUCGCCAAUGGAUUGAAUAAUUAUGGACACUCGCAGGACAACUAAGAGACUGACACACAAUAAUAGACACCAAAGGCAGUGUAUGUGAUUUUCUGACAGGAAAGGCUACUCUAAACAAAGGGAGUCGGCCACACAAGUCGGAGGGAGCAGCAAGUUCUACUAAGAGCCAGCAUCACCAACUAACCAACACUACAAGACCUACCUACUACCAGCUAGGACAGCACACCACCCGGGACAGACUCUACUAUACCAUGUAAUACGCCUUUUUAUUACGAUCAUGAUACAAUUUGCUGCCCUCCCUUGCCCAUGGAUUGAAUAAUUAUGGACACUCGCAGGACAACUAAGAGACUGACACACAAUAAUAGACACCUAACUGCAUUUUUGCCAUUAAUAUAAUAAAAAUAAUUUUGCCAUUAA
Halichondria panicea is the source of this 2448-nucleotide long non-coding RNA. RefSeq lists it as uncharacterized. The record is from RefSeq and is a predicted model, not a curated record. The transcript has 7 exons. NCBI's taxonomy places the organism in Eukaryota, Metazoa, Porifera, Demospongiae, Suberitida, Halichondriidae.